UAGGGAAUCUUCCGCAAUGGGCGAAAGCCUGACGGAGCAACGCCGCGUGAGUGAUGAAGGUCUUCGGAUCGUAAAACUCUGUUAUUAGGGAAGAACAAAUGUGUAAGUAACUAUGCACGUCUUGACGGUACCUAAUCAGAAAGCCACGGCUAACUACGUGCCAGCAGCCGCGGUAAUACGUAGGUGGCAAGCGUUAUCCGGAAUUAUUGGGCGUAAAGCGCGCGUAGGCGGUUUUUUAAGUCUGAUGUGAAAGCCCACGGCUCAACCGUGGAGGGUCAUUGGAAACUGGAAAACUUGAAUGCAGAAGAGGAAAGUGGAAUUCCAUGUGUAGCGGUGAAAUGCGCAGGGAUAUGGAGGAACACCAGUGGCGAAGGCGACUUUCUGGUCUGUAACUGACGCUGGUGUGCGAAAGCGUGGGGAUCAAACAGG
Molecule: ribosomal RNA, 429 nt
Filed under: Actinomycetes bacterium
Lineage: Bacteria; Bacillati; Actinomycetota; Actinomycetes
Description: Actinobacteria bacterium partial 16S ribosomal RNA
Rfam family: Bacterial small subunit ribosomal RNA
Source: RNAcentral